Pseudophryne corroboree (corroboree frog) is the source of this 2050-nucleotide long non-coding RNA. RefSeq lists it as uncharacterized. The record is from RefSeq and is a predicted model, not a curated record. The transcript has 3 exons. Lineage: Eukaryota; Metazoa; Chordata; Amphibia; Anura; Myobatrachidae.
UCAGGAUUGUUUCAAACCGGCACUUCUAGUGACAUUUCUCUGUUCAUCAUGUUUUCCAUAAUCAUUGGAAUCAUCGGUGGAAGAAUCAUUAAAACUGUUUGGAGAUUAGAACACAUGCUGUUACUGGCUGAAAAACUGGAAACGUCUAUCCAUGGAUCAGGAUAGCACUAAGCUUGUAUGGAAUAUUGAACGUGUUCUCUAUUCCCAUCAUUUUGUGUUGACUUUGUUACCUUGAGGAUGGUGAAACCUCAUUAUUGGGAGAGAAGCAGCAGAGAAGUGAAGCGCUUUUUGGACUAGAAUUAUUUUGUAUUAUUAUUUUACCCACUGUCCACUUUACCACAGACAUGUGGACAAGCGGUAGUGGCAAACUAAAGAUUACAUGACUGUGACAACUUACUGGGUUGGUGAAUCACCUUCAACAGCAGAAGCAGAAUCUAAUAAACAACACCAGCUCAUUCAGAGCCAGGCUACUUUGUGUAUCAUCGGCUUCACUGAGAGACAAAAACUAAGGGAUGUCAUAGCAACAUGGCUUACCUCACUUGGUCUCUCCUCAGGAUUUGCAAUCGGGGGAAUUCCAACAUGUCCCAUGUUUUGCUCACACAGUCAACUUUGUGAUAUGGCCUUUUUAAAAAAGAAAAAUGACAUGGGCAUGCAGGAGAUGCUGUCUGUGGCCUGAAAAUUUUCGGGACAUUUUCGACAUUCAUCCACAAGAUGUGGGAGAUUGCAGCACUUAUAAGAACAGUUCAAUUUGCCCAGCCACCAAAUGAAGCAAGAUCUGGUAACCUGGUGGAAUUCCACCCUUUAUAUGCUCUAGUCAAUGGAGGAACAGCAAAAAGCCAUCCAUAGCUAUACAACAAGCCAUGACAUUGGGAGAGGAGGGGGAGUGUACCUUAGCCCAGCACAGUGGAUAAUACUUUCUGUCUUGUGCAAAGUGCUUAAACCCUUUAAAGAAGCCACCUGUGAAGUGAGUUCAGACACUGCUAACUCGAGUCAGGUGAUUCCCCUAUUAGGCUUUUGGAAAAUCAGCUACAGAAAUUCAAGGAGGAGAUUAAACAAAGCAAUUCUGCAAAGUAUGUCAGACUUGUAGAUCAAGUCCUUUAUUCACUUCACCAGGAUACAAGAGUUAUCAAGAUCUUGAAAUUGGAUAACUACAUUUUGGUGACCAUGCUUGAUCCUAGAUUUAAGUCAUAUGUUGUGUCUUUCUUUCUAACUGCUUCAGAUCUUAAGAGAUGCAAAGAGCUCCUGGUAAGCAAAUUGGUAGGUCAAGUGGUACAUAACACAACAACAUCUCCUCCUUCAUUUUCUCUGGCAGCUGGCAGGAAAAAACUCAGCUUUCUCAAAUGACCCAGUGGUGAUGCAGAGAAGUCAACACAAUAUUUUGACAUCUGGUUGGGUCUAAAAGAAUUGCCUAAAAUUAGUAACACCUCUACCGUAACUCCAUCUGAUACGGUCACCAUCCAAAGGAUGACACACUAAGCAUGUCACAGAAUCUCAAUAACUACUGGCAGGAAAAAAAGGCAAUUUGGAGGCCCUUGUACAAACUGGCUUUGCAGUAUUUAGGUGCCCAUCCUACAGUGUGUACUCAGAAAGCGUUUUCAGCACAGCCGGGAACCUUACCAGCGAUCGACGUAGGAGGUUACUUCCCCAGAAUGUGGAAAGGAUGAUGUUCAUCAAAAUUAAUUCCACGAGGAAGACCUUUACGUCAAAGUACAGAGAAUUCUGUAAUGGUGGAUUUCAGCGGGGAUGAAUAGUUAUUGUGCGACGAUUAUGUACACAUUGAUGAAGGAGAGGAUGGUAGUGCCGAUUACAUUUUGCCACUGCAAAGCUGCCUUAAGCCCAUUGGUAGCUUGUUAUUGUUAUGUUAUUGAGGUUAAUAAUACUAUAGGAACAUAAAAAGGCCAAAAUUAUGUGAUUUUAGUUUUGUUUUUUAAAUCCAAAACCAGUCGAAAUCCAAAACUGAAUCCCAAACCGGGCAACAAAGUUGAAACAAAAUCAUCAAAAAUGGUCUGACGCACAUCUGUAAUUGUCAUAACAUAUAUGAUUGAUCAAU